GGUUCCUAGAGAAGCAGUUGUACUCUCGGAACCUCCCAACAUGACCCAGUGGUUGGGGCUUUCAAGGCCUCAUCCCCAACACUACUGUGUGGGUACCUUAAAGUCCUUGCCUUCUCUUCCAGUCCAGUCCUCUGAAGUCGGUAGGCCUGGCAGCAAC
Molecule: long non-coding RNA, 157 nt
Filed under: Monodelphis domestica (gray short-tailed opossum)
Lineage: Eukaryota; Metazoa; Chordata; Mammalia; Didelphimorphia; Didelphidae
Description: lncRNA (ENSMODG00000038595.1)
Source: RNAcentral